CGGCCACGGUAUCCUAACCGUGCAAAGGUAGCAUAAUCACUUGUUCUUUAAAUGAGGACUCGUAUCAACGGCAUCACGAGGAUUAUACUGUCUCCUUUUUCUAAUCAGUGAAACUAAUCUCCCCGUGAAGAAGCGGGGAUAUGCUUAUAAGACGAGAAGACCCCAUGGAGCUUUAAACCCAACUACACCCCCAAUCCUUACAACCAUAAAGCCCGUGGGGCCCUGUAUCACUGGUUUUAGGUUGGGGCGACCAUGGAGCACAACAAAACCUCCACAAUGAACGGAACUACUUCUUCAUCUAAGAGCCACCCCUCUAAGAAUUAAAAUAUUAACAUAAAACGAUCCAUUUUUUUGAUCAAUGAACCAAGUUACCCUGGGGAUAACAGCGCAAUCCAUUUCAAGAGUCCCUAUCGACAAAUGGGUUUACGACCUCGAUGUUGGAUCAGGGUAUCCCAGUGGUGCAGCAGCUACUAACGGUUCGUUUGUUCAACGAUUAAAACCCU
RNAcentral lists this ribosomal RNA (503 nucleotides) under Mantidactylus brevirostris. Its description in RNAcentral is "partial large subunit ribosomal RNA". It matches the Rfam family "Bacterial large subunit ribosomal RNA", at positions 1928 to 2597 of the family's 2925-position model. Lineage: Eukaryota; Metazoa; Chordata; Amphibia; Anura; Mantellidae. The record is from RNAcentral.